RNAcentral lists this unclassified non-coding RNA (318 nucleotides) under uncultured fungus. RNAcentral describes it as "sequence contains ITS2". Lineage: Eukaryota; Fungi. The record is from RNAcentral.
AACGCACAUUGCACCCUCUGGAAUUCCAGAGGGUAUGCCUGUUUGAGUAUCAUUAAUAUCUCAACACCAGACAGGUUAACAUCUGUUCUGUUGCUUGGAUGUUGAAGGUUUGCCAGUAAAAACUGGCUCCUUUAAAAUGUAUUAGCCGAAAUCAUGCAUUGAACUGGCUUCAGUAUGAUAAGCUCUUAUCUGUAUUACUGUCGCUUGUGAAUAAGCAAAUUUAUUGUUUCAGCUUCUAAUUGCCCUACGGGCUGUCCCUCUGAGGGGCAUACUUUGAUACUUGAUCUCAAAUCAGGUAGGACUACCCGCUGAACUUAA